This is a long non-coding RNA of Homo sapiens (human), 5148 nucleotides long. RefSeq lists it as uncharacterized. Lineage: Eukaryota; Metazoa; Chordata; Mammalia; Primates; Hominidae. The record is from RefSeq and is a predicted model, not a curated record. The transcript has 3 exons.
UGGGGGAAGGAGUCAGAAUCAACUUUUACCAAAUCACCUGCUACAUUUGGAGAUGCGAGUGGAGUGCCUUUGGAACGACAGGAGCCAGAAGCAAACUGCCCCUAUCUUCUGGAGGGGGAUAUUGAGGCAUGGCAGGGGUUCUAGGAGUUGACUUUGCCCCGUAAAGUGGAGAGAAGCUUCCAGACCCCCAGCAGCACCUGAGCUAUGGGGCCCUGGAGCUGGAGAAGCUGCCACACAGCACCCCAGCUUCCUUUUGAGGACUCCCUCCCCUCUGCCAAGAUGCCCCCAUCCUCUCUGCCAAGGGGUGAUCAUGUGACCAAGGUCAAUCAGACUUUCUUACCAUGUCCCCAACUGUCAAAUAAAGUGUCAAGGGCAGAAAGAAAAAGCAGGGGUGCAUUUGUCGCAUUGGGAUGGAAACUCUCCUUCAGGAGGCUGCUAGUAACUCCUGCGCCAAGGUCCCCAGAAUUUCCUCAGUUCCUGACCUGUCCUUUCCUGAGCCCCCCAGUAAAUCCUGUUCCAGCUUGAGGUAGUAAGUGUUGGGCUCUGCUACUUGCAGUCUGUGAUGAAUGGGUACUUUGGUGGACUCCAAAAAGCCACACUGCCUGGUAUUCAAACCCUUGUGUGGGCCCCACCUCAUGAAACCGGGCUGGCUUUGGGACCUGUUUUGACCAAGAGAAGGUGGCAGAAGUGAUGCUGUGCCGGUUUUGCGGUUAAGCCUUAAGAGACCGUGGCAGCUUUCAUUUUUGCACUCUUAGAAGUCAGGCUACCCUGAACCUGCCAUACUGCGAGGAAGCCCAAGUAGCCAUAGGGCAGAGCCCACAUGGAGAAUAACUGAGCUCCCAUCUGGUGACCAGCAAGAGCUGCCAGCCAUUUGAAUGGGGUUGUUUUAGACCUGCCAGCUGAUAUCACAUGAAGCUGAAGAACCACCUGGUCAAACCACAGAAUCGUCCAAAAUAAAAUGUUGUUACCUUAAACCACUGAGUUUGGAGUGGUUUGUUAUACAGCAGAAACACAACCCAAGAAUCCUCAGUGACACUGAUCAGAGCCCAUUCCCCCAACAGAAAUGUCACAAAUGACUAUGAGGUUAAGACUUUCAGCCUCUUCGGCUAAUGAACACUUGGAGGAGAACAUCAUUCAUUCAUUCCUUUAGUCAUUCAUUCAAACAGCCAGUAAGCCUAGCACAGAUGGUACAAAGAUGAACAAGCUUCAGGACCUCCUGUUCUAGUGAGGGCAUCACACACAGUGCCUCAGUUUCCUUACUGAUAAAGUGAAGAUGAUAUUAGUCCCUGCUUCAAAGGCUUGCUGUGAUGAUGAAAUGCUGGGCAAAAAGUAAUCAAUAGAUAUUAGACAUUAUUAUUACUACACACUUGCAAUGCACAAUGUAAGUGUCCAGGGACACUUGCAAUGUCCCUGGAAGUGUAGCCAUUGGGUACAAAGUGUCACAACGGGAGACAAACUCAAAUGCCUACGUGGGCCAGGCAGAUAAUGUAAACGGGUGAAGUGGACGCAUAAGAAAACUCCACACCCCACUUCCUCUCCAGCUCUCAUCUGGCCACUUUUGGUAGAGAUGGAACAGAGAAAUAUUGCUCCACAAUGAGAAAAACAGAAGGGAAAGUGCAAUGAAAAGCCAAAUGAAUUGGUUCACAAUGUCAGGCUAUAGGGGAUGGUGGGGACCACAUCUCCCCAUUUUUCAGGAGAAGCUGAAAAUCCAGAUUUUUAAAAUGUGAAAUCUCGUAGUUGUUACAAAUCUGACAGCUUUUUAGAAGGUUCAAACAAAACAUUUCUGCGAGCUGAACAGAGCCCCUGGUUAGGUGGCCUGUGAUGUCCUAUUCUACCAGCAUGGCAGAGCAAGGAGAGACUUCGUUGUGUCUCUUUCCUCCUUUGUAAAACGGGGUUGGAAGAUCCCCACAUCGCUGAGUUAUUCCACAUUCACAGGAGCGCGCACUUAAACCACCACUAGCCUGUACAAAGUGCUCGGUAAAUGUGAGCUUUCAGGAGGGUAGGUUGGGGAGUGGAGGUUAAAGAGGCUGCUCUCCUGGGCUGUGACCGCUGUUCUUUCAGGAAGGGACAAUUUAGGGAAGGGAGUUGUCUUUUCAAGGGCACAUGCAGAAAUAUUUAACCCAAGAGCCCUCAUUAGAAUGUCACACCACUGACCUGGAAGACUAGCUUGGCCCCAGAGUCAUCAGAAGUGGAGGGUUCCACCAGCCCUUCUGCAAGGCCGUGAGGUCCCUGCCGUGGCAUAAAGGGGACGAUCCUUCCUCUGCAAGCAAUGCUAGCACAAAACCCCAGCUCUGGCACUGGGGAGCAAGUGAGUGUGUAUGAAACCAAUCCUCCCAGCCACCUGCUUAGCUUUUUGCAAAUGACUAACAGGUUUUGACAUCCUUGCCCUGAGCAGUCACCUUCGAGCAAACAUGCUAGCCAGAUGUGCCUGUAGCUCUCCAAGCCUCUUUCUUUUCUUGCUUCCUUCAUUCAAAAAAAAAUUUACUGAGUAUCCAAAGAGUGCCACCCUGGUUCUCAGUGCUGGGGAUACAGCGAUGAACAAGACAGACAAUGUCCCUACAAGCACAGAGCUUGCUUUUUAGUGAGGAGAGAGAAGACAAAGGACAAAUAAGCAAACCAGGCUAAUUCCAGAGAGUGAUAAGUGUUAUAAAACAUAAAACAGGUUGUCCUUCCAGCAUUCUAGGGAGGUGACAUUUCAGCUGAGAUCCGAAGCAUAGGAAGGAGCCAGGUCCUUUCCCAGUGUUUGAUUUAGAGGUGAGUGCAAAACCCAACUCCGGACCAAUGAAACAGAAAGCAAAGUCUGCUAGGGUGGGAGUGUUCUGGCAAGGAUUUUACUCUCUGAUUAAAAGAGAGACAGCAAGGAGUCCUGUCCUAUAGUCCCACUUUGUAGGGUGAUGCGACGUCUGGAGCUGUGGCAGCCAUAUUGAGACUAUGAGGCAACAAGGCCAAAGACAUGAUGAGGACAGAAGAAGAGGCUUGAAAGAUCCUGGGACCUUGGAUGACACUGUUGUACUGAAAAACCAGCGCCUGGACUCCCCUGCUUUGGACUUGGUGUUAUGUGAGAAUUAAAUGUUUCUAUUGCAUAAGCCACUGUCAGUCAGAAAUGUGAUUCCUCAUAAUGAAACCAUUUCAAUUCACAUUAAAAUGAUCAGGACUCUAAGCUACUAAGAAUUAUAGUAGGCUUUCCUGGUCUCUGAAAUAUCCAGAUAAGUGGCCUGCAAUCAGAAGUCUAUGGAUAGUAUCUGUCUCGAGAGCAGACCAGAAAUGUGGCUUUCAGAUGGUCUGAUUUUCACCAAGCAGGAACAUCUCCAAGGCUUCUGUGAGCUAACAGUUUUUUCAAUCUCUUUUCAAAAAGUUCCAGGCCAGGCAGGGUGGCUCACGCCUGUAAUCCCAGCACUUUUGGAGGGUCACUUGAGCCCAGGAGUUUGAGACCAGCUUGGGCAACAUAGCAAGAUCUCAUCUCUACCAAAAAAAAAAAAAAAAAAUUAGCUGGGUAUGGUGGCCUGUGCCUAUAGUCCCACCUACUUGGGAGGCUGAGGUGGGAGAAUCACUUGAGCUUGGGAGGUUGAGGUGGUAGUGAACUGAGACUGUGCCACUGCACUCCAGCCUGGAUGACAGUGCAAGACCCUGUCUCAAAAACAAAAAAGCUCCUCUUCUCUGGCUACUGGGGUGGGUCAAGUCACCCGCUGGGGUCCUGACCAUGAGCCAAUAAGAAAAGCUAUUGGCCACAUUCUUCCCCUAACACAUCUGGCUUCCACAUGGCCAAACACAUCUUUGGUACUAUUUGUGGUCCCUGGGGAUGGCCCUGUCCACCAACUUACACACACAAGACCUGGCCAUAACAACUCUGAGUUUGGGAUAGAAUUUAUCUAAGAUUCAAGCUGGGCCCAGGUGUGCAGAGCAGUGGGCCAGGCCUUCUGUAAGAUGACGCUCCAUGGCAGAGGCCAGGGCCACUGGGCAACGUGUGCUUUGGAAUCACAUUAAGAGAACGUGGGGAAUUCAAAACAUUCUGGUUACAGAGAAUUCCAAGAAGCCCUGGCCUGGGCUGGAGGAGAAGCUCUGAAGGCCAUGCCAACAGCUGUUCCACCCAGAAGGCAUCGUGCUGCCUACAAGGCCCGAGAUCCCACAUGACCUUAAGCAAUUUCCCAAGGGCAUCUGUGGCAGAGCAAUGAAUAUUUAGCUCUGUCUGUUAAUCACUGAGAAACCAGGCGAUGAAGAAGGGGAGGCUCAGCCCGAGCCUUCAGGAACUUCUUGGAAAUGUCAGAGAGGUGAGCAUGUGGGAUAUGCUAAAAAUAUUCAUCAAAUAGAUUCAUGACAGGCACUAGGGGGAGGCUGGGGGGAGAAAACCACACUAGAAAACAAAACACAUUCUCUCUGGAUAAUUGUGUCCAGUCCCACAGCUUAAAAUAACAUCAAUAUGCCGAUAACUCCCAAACUUAGGUUGCCAGCCCCGACCGGCUGCAGACAUCCACGUUCACCACCCACUGAGCUUUCAGACAUCCAGGUGGGGUUCAUCUCAAACCCAACAUUUCCACGUCGGAAUUCCAGAUCACUCCUCCUCCCCAAAACCUUCUCUCCUAUCUUCCCUAUUUAGCAAUCACCACGCACCAGGCUGCCUAGUCACCUUUGACUCCUUGGCAGGAUACAUCAUGAAUAUUUGGGCUGAAUCAUUUUUCACUGUGGGGUCAUCCCGUACAUUGCAGGUUAAGCAGCAUCCCUGGCCUCUACCCUCUAGAUGCCAGUAGCAACCCUUCCCCAGUUGGGACAACCUAUACUGUCUCCGGAUAGUGUUAAAAUGUUUUCUGGGUGUCAAAAUCACCCUCGGUUGAGAAUCAAAGCCCUUUCCCUCACUCUGUAAUCCAAUCCACUAGGAAGUCCUGUGGGCCCUACCUCCAAAAUACAUCUCCAAUCCCCAUUUCACUCCAUCUCCAUUGAUACCACCACGGUCCAAGCCACUCUCGGGCCCUCUCUGUUGCCUAACAGUCCCGGUGAUACCACUUCCAUCUGCACAGCACGCCUCUCACAGGAGCCAGCAGGAUCUUCUUGAAACACAAAUCAUAUCAUUCUCUGACUUAAAACCCUCCAAUGGUUCUCCAUUUUAUUUUUUAAUUUAUUUUUGAGAUGGAGUCUUGCUCUGUCACUCAGGCU